GCCUAACGGCUGAACUGGCAACUUGGAGAAGUGGCAAGUCUUCCAGUAUGGGGAGCAAAACAGCUAUGGGUCAAGUCCGAUAUCUUUAGGAGAAGUCUUAUUGUGAGGGCGAGUUUUAUAACACCAUAGGACUGGCCGUCCCAUAUGAAAAGAUUAUAUUAGAAUUGAAUGAAGCUUUGUUUAUAUAUUGAUAAUGACAGUAUAUAUAUCGUGUCUUGACUAAUUGCGUGCCAGCAGUCGCGGUAAUACGUAAGAGACUAGUGUUAUUCAUCUUAAUUAGGUUUAAAGGGUACCCAGACGGUCAAUAUAGCUUAUAAAAUGUUAGUACUUGACUAGAGUUUUAUGUAAGAGGGCAGUACUUGAGGAGGAGAGAUGAAAUUUCGUGAUACCAAAGGGACUCUGUAAAGGCGAAGGCAGCCCUCUAUGUAAAAACUGACGUUGAAGGACGAAGGCACAGAGAACAAACAGGAUUAGAUACCCAAGUAGUCUUUGCAGUAAAUGAUGAAUGCCAUAGGUUAGAUGGGUGGGUAGUCUAGUUGAGUUAGUUUAGCAAACUAAUGAUCUAGAGGAGCCCACCAUAUAUUUGGUCUAUAAAUGAAAGUGUAAGCAUUUCACCUCAAGAGUAAUGUGGCAACGCAGGAACUGAAAUCACUAGACCGUUUCUGACACCAGUAGUGAAG
RNAcentral lists this ribosomal RNA (680 nucleotides) under Fusarium sp. NRRL 26061. Its description in RNAcentral is "SSU rRNA". It matches the Rfam family "Bacterial small subunit ribosomal RNA", at positions 374 to 937 of the family's 1533-position model. Lineage: Eukaryota; Fungi; Ascomycota; Sordariomycetes; Hypocreales; Nectriaceae. The record is from RNAcentral.